GUCACGCUGCCGUUCGCCUGAAGUCACCUGACAUUCUAGCAACAUCCUGGUAGAGGUCGCUCGCGCUGCAGCGUCUCCCCCGCCGAUUCUGCUCGGGCGCGGCUGUCUGUCGCCGGGUAAAUUCCCACUAUCAGUGCAAAGAGCAGUGCGACAUCCACCAAUUCGAGAAAAUCGGCAAUAUCAUCAAACAAUUCUAUCUGAGCUGCAGUUCACAACGUUCGCGCUGGAGGAGCUGCAAGAAGAUCAAACCUAUCAAUUCAGCCCUGAGUGCUC
Lacerta agilis (Sand lizard) is the source of this 273-nucleotide long non-coding RNA. RefSeq lists it as uncharacterized. The transcript has 3 exons. The record is from RefSeq and is a predicted model, not a curated record. Lineage: Eukaryota; Metazoa; Chordata; Lepidosauria; Squamata; Lacertidae.